Molecule: ribosomal RNA, 422 nt
Filed under: uncultured bacterium
Lineage: Bacteria
Description: bacterial SSU rRNA
Rfam family: Bacterial small subunit ribosomal RNA
Source: RNAcentral
GUUUGAUCCUGGCUCAGAUUGAACGCUGGCGGCAUGCUUUUAUACAUGCAAGUCGAACGGUAACGCGGGCUUCGGCCUGGCGACGAGUGGCGAACGGGUGAGUAAUACAUCGGAACGUGCCCAGUAGUGGGGGAUAGCUCGGCGAAAGCCGAAUUAAUACCGCAUACGCCCUAUGGGGGAAAGCGGGGGAUCGCAAGACCUCGCGCUAUUGGAGCGGCCGAUGCCAGAUUAGCUUGUUGGUGGGGUAAAGGCUUACCAAGGCAACGAUCUGUAGCUGGUCUGAGAGGACGACCAGCCACACUGGGACUGAGACACGGCCCAGACUCCUACGGGAGGCAGCAGUAGGGAAUUUUGGACAAUGGGCGAAAGCCUGAUCCAGCAAUGCCGCGUGUGUGAUGAAGGCCCUCGGGUUGUAAAGCUAC